This 342-nucleotide ribosomal RNA is filed under the name uncultured bacterium. RNAcentral's name for it is "bacterial SSU rRNA". It matches the Rfam family "Bacterial small subunit ribosomal RNA", at positions 28 to 359 of the family's 1533-position model. The record is from RNAcentral.
GAUGAACGCUAGCUACAGGCUUAACACAUGCAAGUCGAGGGGCAUCAGGAAGAAAGCUUGCUUUCUUUGCUGGCGACCGGCGCACGGGUGAGUAACACGUAUCCAACCUGCCCUUUACUCGGGGAUAGCCUUUCGAAAGAAAGAUUAAUACCCGAUAGUAUAAUGAUUCCGCAUGGUUUCAUUAUUAAAGGAUUUCCCGGUAAAGGAUGGGGAUGCGUUCCAUUAGGUUGUUGGUGAGGUAACGGCCCACCAAGCCUUCGAUGGAUAGGGGUUCUGAGAGGAAGGUCCCCCACAUUGGAACCUGAGACACGGUCCAAACUCCUACGGGAGGCAGCAGUGAGG